This 301-nucleotide ribosomal RNA is filed under the name uncultured bacterium. RNAcentral describes it as "partial 16S ribosomal RNA". It matches the Rfam family "Bacterial small subunit ribosomal RNA", at positions 509 to 807 of the family's 1533-position model. The record is from RNAcentral.
CAGUAGCCGCGGUAAUACAGAGGAUGCAAGCGUUAUCCGGAAUGAUUGGGCGUAAAGCGUCUGUAGGUGGCUUUUCAAGUCCGCCGUCAAAUCCCAGGGCUCAACCCUGGACAGGCGGUGGAAACUACCAAGCUGGAGCACGGUAGGGGCAGAGGGGAUUUCCGGUGGAGCGGUGAAAUGCGUUGAGAUCGGAAGGAACGCCCGUGGCGAAAGCGAGGCCCUGGACCUUUUCUGACGCUGAGACGCGAAAGCCAGGGGAGCGAACGGGAUUAGAUACCCCGGUAGUCCCUGUCUCUUAUAC